CAUUUUGAUACGGUUGAACCCAUGUAAACAAUACUCUUUAUUGUGAGAUUUUGGGAUAUUUUCUGUGUUUGAAGGGAUAACAUGCAGACCAAACUGGUAGAAAUAAGAAAUGGCAAAUGAUGGAUUUAGCUGCAGCCUACACUACAACUUGUUACUGUACAAGCGUGCUUUGCAGAGACGGCAGUUCACUGAUGCAGUCGUCCUGUGUGUAAGAAACCUGGUGAUCAAAAUGGUUGAAGGCAGUACCCAAGAAAGUACAUUUACAAAUUGUGAAUGGGUAAACGGUUGGUCUGCCGCAACAUUCAAGUUUCAAGCAAGCUGUCUGCUGUAACCAUGACCCAGUUCAAGCUGUAUGCAGUGUUAUUUUCUCUGGUGGUCAAAGAAAAUGGAAAGUAUUCUCUGUAUGGCUGGAUUGACCUCAGUGGAAGUUGUUCGCUUAAAUGGUUUCGGGACAUUGAAGUAAAACAAUACAAGGUCCCACUAAGAGUGAAGGGCUGUCUGUUGGCUUCAGAUUCCCAGUCCUCUUUGCUGAUGAUUUCUGAGUUCCUCACACAGUCACCCCAGUCUUAAACCUCUGUUUGUACAGAUGAGAUGCCAUACACAGGGGAUCCGAAAGAAGACAGCAGACAGAAUUCGUCAAUGUAUUUGAAAUAUCAUUGUUUAUUUGAAGAAAUUUACCUAUCCACAA
RNA transcript from Mya arenaria, 688 nucleotides. RefSeq lists it as uncharacterized. Lineage: Eukaryota; Metazoa; Mollusca; Bivalvia; Myida; Myidae. The record is from RefSeq and is a predicted model, not a curated record. The transcript is spliced from 8 exons.